CUCACUGGACCCGUUUCAGGUACUCCUGGGGCGUCCGAGGUGGCACAGAGGGGUCGAAGUCUUCCGCCAAGUCGCAGGGUUCCACAGGAAAAAGCAAAGAGGAUUAUCUAUUUACAAGACUAACUGCAAUAUACAAUGGCUAUUGAACUAACAAUGAAAUCCAUGCAAUAUAUGGGAAAACAUAUGGUUCACAGGAAAAAGAAAAAAAAUGGUCAGAAUGGAGCACUUGUUUUCCCAAGCAAUAGUGAUGAAUUAUUUUUCAAAAGAGCCACUUCAAGAAAAUGACCUCGAGGGGCCAUGCUCCCCUCUCUUCUUUCUCUUGGGAAUUAAUCCACACAGUUUUGGAACUCUGCUCUGAGACUGAACUGUACUGAUGAUUAGAAUACUCCAUUUCCCGUGUAAGGUACCAUCCCUUUCAUAUAUGAACAAUUUGGCUGCUAAAAGGGGCAGAAAAUGAACAUUUGUGUAAGGACUAUAGGUAAAAUCCACUUGUGAAGAAACAAAUUUCUUCUGGACAAAAUGCUGAGAGAUAAUAGACUGUUCUGAUCCUGGGAUAAAGAACUGCCCUGCAGAAGAAUGUACUCUGAAAGGACAUGUUUAAAGGCAGUGAUGACUUGAAAUAUGAUAGCUUUGGGGCAUUUGGUCCAUCAGCUCAUUUGUAUGUGACUUUUUAGAGUUUUGAAGUUUAAAGCUGACAAAAUUACAAAUCAAGUGACUGUUUGGGGACUAUAGAAGGAGUUUUGACUUCAUGCCUGACAUAAAAUUGUUUCUUGAGUUUUAAAAACUGUGACUGACC
Molecule: long non-coding RNA, 796 nt
Organism: Vombatus ursinus (common wombat)
Lineage: Eukaryota; Metazoa; Chordata; Mammalia; Diprotodontia; Vombatidae
Exons: 4
Source: RefSeq, a predicted model, not a curated record